Molecule: ribosomal RNA, 246 nt
Filed under: uncultured bacterium
Lineage: Bacteria
Description: partial small subunit ribosomal RNA
Rfam family: Bacterial small subunit ribosomal RNA
Source: RNAcentral
AGAAUCAACGCUGGCGGCGUGCCUAACACAUGCAAGUCGAACGAGAAAGUGGGAGCAAUCCCAUGAGUAAAGUGGCGCACGGGUGAGUAACACGUGACUAACCUACCCUUGAGUGGGGGAUAACCUAGGGAAACCUGGGCUAAUACCGCAUAAUACCUACGGGUCAAAGGAGCAAUUCGCUUUAGGAGGGGUCGCGGCAGAUUAGUUAGUUGGCGGGGUAAUGGCCUACCAAGACGAUGAUCAGUA